RNAcentral lists this ribosomal RNA (253 nucleotides) under uncultured bacterium. RNAcentral describes it as "partial 16S ribosomal RNA". It matches the Rfam family "Bacterial small subunit ribosomal RNA", at positions 524 to 776 of the family's 1533-position model. The record is from RNAcentral.
GACGAAGGGGGCUAGCGUUGCUCGGAAUGACUGGGCGUAAAGCGUGCGCAGGCGGUUGUGUAAGUCUGUCGUGAAAUCCCCGGGCUCAACCUGGGAAUUGCGAUGGAGACUGCACGGCUAGAGUGUGUCAGAGGGGGGUAGAAUUCCACGUGUAGCAGUGAAAUGCGUAGAUAUGUGGAGGAACACCGAUGGCGAAGGCAGCCCCCUGGGAUAACACUGACGCUCAUGCACGAAAGCGUGGGGAGCAAACAGG